This 491-nucleotide ribosomal RNA is filed under the name uncultured bacterium. Its description in RNAcentral is "partial 16S ribosomal RNA". It matches the Rfam family "Bacterial small subunit ribosomal RNA", at positions 29 to 506 of the family's 1533-position model. The record is from RNAcentral.
AGUGAACGCUGGCGGUAGGCCUAACACAUGCAAGUCGAACGGCAGCACAGUAAGAGCUUGCUCUUACGGGUGGCGAGUGGCGGACGGGUGAGGAAUACAUCGGAAUCUACUUUUUCGUGGGGGAUAACUUAGGGAAACUUACGCUACUACCGCAUACGACCUACGGGUGAAAGCAGGUGAUCUUCGUACCUUGCGCGAUUGAAUGAGCCGAUGUCGGAUUAGCUAGUUGGCGGGGUAAAGGCCCACCAAGGCGACGAUCCGUAGCUGGUCUGAGAGGAUGAUCAGCCACACGGGAACUGAGACACGGCCCAGACUCCUACGGGAGGCAGCAGUGGGGAAUAUUGGAAAAGGGGAGCAAGCCUGAGCCAGCCAUACCGCGUGGGUGAAGAAGGCCUUCGGGUUGUAAAGCCCUUUUGUGGGGAAAGAAAAGCAGCAGGUUAAUACCCCGCUGUUCUGACGGUACCCAAAGAAUAAGCACCGGCUAACUUCGU